RNAcentral lists this ribosomal RNA (1208 nucleotides) under Eimeria papillata. Its description in RNAcentral is "bacterial LSU rRNA". It matches the Rfam family "Bacterial large subunit ribosomal RNA", at positions 1118 to 2439 of the family's 2925-position model. The record is from RNAcentral. Lineage: Eukaryota; Apicomplexa; Conoidasida; Eucoccidiorida; Eimeriidae.
CCCCUUUAAAGAGUGCGUAAAAGCUCGCUAAAUUAGAAACUAUGCGCUGAAAAUGCAAGAAUAAGAAUACUUUUCUGAAGCUAUGAGAUUUAUAUUUUAAAUCGGUAGAGGAGCGUUCUAUAUUUAAGAAGCAAAAAUGUAAAUUUUUGUAGAAAUAAUAGAAGUGAGAAUGUCAGCUUAAGUAGCAUAAAUAUUAGUAAAAUCUAAUACUCCGAAAGUUAAAAGGUCUCCUAUGAAAGGAUAUACCACAUAGGGAAAGUCGGGGCCUAAAAUUAGAUUUAAUAUGUAAUUGAUGGGUAAAAAAGGUUAAAAUUCCUAUACCAUAAUAUAUAAUUAAAACAAAAAGUGACCUAUAAUAUUUAGUAUAUUUUUAAGAAUUAGUUACUUAAUAUACUAUAUAUUUUAUAGCUAGAAAAAUGUAUAUGUUAUAAUUAAAUUAUGCCCGUACUAAAACUGACACAAGUAAACAAGUAAAAAUCUACUAAGGAGUACGAAAUAACUUUCUCUAAGGAACUCGGCAAAAUAAUCCUGUAACUUCGGGAUAAAGGAUGCCCAAAGGGCUGCAAUUAAAAGAUCCAAGCGACUGUUUAUCAAAAACACAGGUCUCCGCUAAGUUUAAUCACAAUAUAAGGAGGCUGACACCUGCCCAGUGCUGGUAAGUAAAAAAAAAUGUUUUUAACAAAAGCAUUUUUAUAAGCUCCAGUAAACGGCGGCUGUAACUAUAACGGUCCAAAGGUAGCGAAAUUCCUUGUCGGGUAAGUUCCGACCUGCACGAAAGGUGUAACGACUUGGAUGCUGUCUUUGAGAAAGAUUCGGUGAAAUAGAAAUGUCUGUGAAGAUACGGACUAUCUACACCUGGACAGAAAGACCCUACGAAGCUUCACUAUAUUUUAAAAUUAAAAAUGAAAUAUAUUUGUAUAGAAUAAGUGGGAAACUAACUUUAUAGUUUAUCUUGAAAUACCACUCCUGUAUAUUUUAUUUUUUUAUUAUAAUAUUGUUAACCAAUUAUAAGAAACUUUUAAAAAGGUAGUUUGACUGGGGCGCGUAUCCUCUCUAAAAGGCAUACGCGAGGUGUACCAAGGUCUUCCGUCUAAUUUAAAAUAAUUGUGUACAUUAAGAUUAUAAAGGAAAAAAGGCUUGAUUGCAAGAGUUACUACUCGAGCAAGGACGAAAGUCGGUCUUAAUGAUCCGACAGUUCUGUGUGUAAA